Molecule: ribosomal RNA, 203 nt
Filed under: Citrobacter freundii
Lineage: Bacteria; Pseudomonadati; Pseudomonadota; Gammaproteobacteria; Enterobacterales; Enterobacteriaceae
Description: partial 23S ribosomal RNA
Rfam family: Bacterial large subunit ribosomal RNA
Source: RNAcentral
GCCCGGUAGCUAAAUGCGGAAGAGAUAAGUGCUGAAAGCAUCUAAGCACGAAACUUGCCCCGAGAUGAGUUCUCCCUGAGACUAUAAGUCUCCUGAAGGAACGUUAAAGACUAUGACGUUGAUAGGUCGGGUGUGUAAGUGUAGCGAUACAUUGAGCUAACCGAUACUAAUGAACCGUGAGGCUUAACCUUACAACGCCGAAG